UUCUGCAGCCAUACCACCCUGAACACGCCCGAUCUCAUCUGCUCUCGGAAGCUAAGCAGGGUUGGGCCUGGUUAGUACUUGGAUGGGAGAAA
Molecule: ribosomal RNA, 92 nt
Filed under: Rhinopithecus bieti (black snub-nosed monkey)
Lineage: Eukaryota; Metazoa; Chordata; Mammalia; Primates; Cercopithecidae
Source: RNAcentral